CGCGUGAGUGAUGAAGCCCUAGGGUCGUAAGCUCUUUCAACUGUGAAGAUUAUGACGGUAGCAGUAGAGGAACCCGGCUAACUCCGUGCCAGCAGCCGCGUAAUACGGAGGGGUUAGCGUUGUUCGGAAUUACUGGGCGUAAAGCGUACGUAGGCGGAUUAAUAAGUUAGAGGUGAAAUCCCAGGGCUCAACCCUGGAACUGCCUUUAAAACCGUUAGUCUUGAGAUCGAGAGAGGUGAGUGGAAUUCCAAGUGUAGAGGUGAUAUUCGUAGAUAUUUGGAGGAACACCAGUGGCGAACGCGGCUCACUGGCUCGAUACUGACGCUGAUGUACGAA
RNAcentral lists this ribosomal RNA (336 nucleotides) under uncultured bacterium. RNAcentral describes it as "bacterial SSU rRNA". It matches the Rfam family "Bacterial small subunit ribosomal RNA", at positions 398 to 757 of the family's 1533-position model. The record is from RNAcentral.